AUGACCUCGGAUCAGGUAGGGAUACCCGCUGAACUUAAGCAUAUCAAUAAGCGGAGGAAAAGAAACCAACAGGGAUUACCUCAGUAA
RNAcentral lists this ribosomal RNA (87 nucleotides) under Podosphaera macrospora. RNAcentral describes it as "partial 28S ribosomal RNA". It matches the Rfam family "Eukaryotic large subunit ribosomal RNA", at positions 1 to 86 of the family's 3401-position model. Lineage: Eukaryota; Fungi; Ascomycota; Leotiomycetes; Helotiales; Erysiphaceae. The record is from RNAcentral.